RNAcentral lists this unclassified non-coding RNA (348 nucleotides) under soil metagenome. RNAcentral's name for it is "partial contains 5.8S ribosomal RNA, internal transcribed spacer 2, and large subunit ribosomal RNA". The stretch from base 1 to 120 matches the Rfam family "5.8S ribosomal RNA", at positions 35 to 154 of the family's 154-position model. The record is from RNAcentral.
GAUGAAGAACGCAGUGAAAUGCGCUAAGUAAUGUGAAUUGCAGAAUUCAGUGAAUCAUCGAAUCUUUGAACGCACAUUGCGCCCGCCAGUAUUCUGGCGGGCAUGCCUGUCUGAGCGUCAUUUCAACCCUCAUGCCCCUAGGGCGUGGUGUUGGGGAUCGGCCAAAGCCCGCGAGGGACGGCCGGCCCCUAAAUCUAGUGGCGGACCCGUCGUGGCCUCCUCUGCGAAGUAGUGAUAUUCCGCAUCGGAGAGCGACGAGCCCCUGCCGUUAAACCCCCAACUUUCCAAGGUUGACCUCAGAUCAGGUAGGAAUACCCGCUGAACUUAAGCAUAUCAAUAAGCGGAGGA